Molecule: ribosomal RNA, 999 nt
Filed under: Triticum aestivum (bread wheat)
Lineage: Eukaryota; Viridiplantae; Streptophyta; Magnoliopsida; Poales; Poaceae
Description: partial small subunit ribosomal RNA
Source: RNAcentral
AUGAGAAAAUCUACAGUCAUUGCUAAAACAGAUUGUAAAGUCAUGAUGGUCAUAUCAGAAAAAGGAGGCUUAUGGGAGAUUACAAGACAACAGCUAGAACACAACCAUGAAUUAACACCAAAUAGUAGAUUCUUUAGGUCUCAUAAGUACAUGUCAGAUGAAGAUAAGUGCUUGAUAAGGGUUUUGAAGCACACAAACCUAGAAACAAGAAGGAUUGUUGCUGUCCUAGCUUACUUGCAAGGAGGAAUGGCUCAUCUUCCCUACACAAAAAAGCAUGUGACUAACUAUGCAGCGACAGGAAACAGAGAUAUCGCAAACUCUGACAUGAUGGAAGCAGUGCAAAUGUUCAACAAGAAGCAAACAGAAAAUCCUGGAUUUUGCUACUCGUUUGAGCUUGAUGGAGAAAAUAAAGUGAGAAGCUUAUUCUGGACAGAUGUGCGGUCAAGAAUGAUGUAUGACAUUUGUGGUGACUGCAUCAGUUUUGACACUACAUUCCUAACAAACAGAUACAACCUACCAUUUGCACCCUUUGUGGGGAUAUCCCCACAUGGCAACACAUACUUGUUUGCUUGUGCAUUCAUCGUCAAUAAGACAAAAGAAACAUUUGCUUGGUUGUUUGAACAAUUCCUGAUGGCUAUGGGAGGAAAGCAUCCUAUAUCAAUCAUUACAGACUAGGACAAGGCAAUGCAAGUAGCAAUUGAAAAAGUCUUUCCUAAUGCUACCCAUAGGAGCUGCCUCUUCCACAUAAAGAAGAAGGUAGAGGAGAAAGUCGGGCCCUGCUUCCAAGCUAAUGAGGGACUCUAUGAAGAUUUCCAGGACAUUGUGGACAAUUCCUUGACGGUUGAAGAAUUUGAAACACAAUGGCAAGAAAUGAUAGAAAAAUACCAAGUUCACCACAUCAAGUACUUCAAUGACAUGUGGGAAAACAGGAAAAAGUUCAUCCCAGUGUAUUUCAAAGGACAAAUUCUUCCCAUUCAUACAAACUAUAGCAAGAAGUGA